RNAcentral lists this ribosomal RNA (881 nucleotides) under uncultured bacterium. Its description in RNAcentral is "bacterial SSU rRNA". It matches the Rfam family "Bacterial small subunit ribosomal RNA", at positions 8 to 899 of the family's 1533-position model. The record is from RNAcentral.
GAGAGUUUGAUCCUGGCUCAGGACGAACGCUGGCGGCGUGCUUAACACAUGCAAGUCACGGGGGCCCGCAAGGGUAACCGGCGAACGGGUGCGUAACACGUGAACAAUCUGCCUAGAUGUGGGGGAUAGCCGGCCCAACGGCCGGGUAAUACCGCAUACGCUCUUCGGGUGGCAUCACUUGAAGAGGAAACCUCCGGGGCAUCUAGAGGAGUUCGCGGCCUAUCAGCUAGUUGGUGGGGUAACGGCCUACCAAGGCAAUGACGGGUAGCUGGUCUGAGAGGAUGGCCAGCCACAUUGGGACUGAGAUACGGCCCAGACUCCUACGGGAGGCAGCAGUGGGGAAUAUUGCGCAAUGGCCGAAAGGCUGACGCAGCGACGCCGCGUGGGGGAUGAAGCAUUUCGGUGUGUAAACCCCUGUUGCCCGGGACGAACAAGCGAUUUUGAUCGCUCUGACGGUACCGGGUGAGGAAGCACCGGCUAACUCCGUGCCAGCAGCCGCGGUAAUACGGAGGGUGCGAGCGUUGUCCGGAAUCACUGGGCGUAAAGGGCGCGUAGGCGGUCUGCUAAGCGUGUGGUGAAAGCUCGGGGCUCAACCCCGAGUCUGCCAUGCGAACUGGUGGACUAGAGCACUGUAGAGGCAGGUGGAAUUCCGGGUGUAGCGGUGGAAUGCGUAGAGAUCCGGAAGAACACCAGUGGCGAAGGCGGCCUGCUGGGCAGUAGCUGACGCUGAGGCGCGAUAGCGUGGGGAGCAAACAGGAUUAGAUACCCUGGUAGUCCACGCCGUAAACGAUGGGGACUAGGUGCUUGGGGGAGCGACCCCUCGAGUGCCGGCGCUAACGCAUUAAGUCCCCCGCCUGGGGAGUACGACCGCAAGGUUGAAA